AAAUCUUUUGGGUUUUCAUUUAUAAAUUUUUUGGUUUUCAAAUACAUCAUAGGAAGUACGAUAAUGAGAGACUCGACAAAUUCAACUAUACUGCAACAAAUUAUGACACCAACUAAAAGAAUCGGUACUAUUGGACAUGACUUUAAAGAACAAAACAACACAAAAAACAAACUCAUAAUAUAAAAAGUCUCCUUAAGCUAGCUCCUGAAUGCAGUGAUCCUGACUGGAUGUUCCUAGGGUGUUUGUCAUGCUCAAGCUCUGGUAAGCAGAUCCACACCUAUAUGAGAAAAUAAGACCAAAUAGAGUUAAAAACUUAGAAUACUAUGUGAGACAAUAUCACUCCCUGUUGGACACAUGCAAGACAUGAUUGUGGCUAUUUUUUUAAAAUUGACCUUCGUGGCUUAUUAGCGCAAACUCAUCAAAGGUGACCUCAUAGAUAUGGAAAUACCUCACUAAAGUUUAUGUGGAUUCAAACUCCCAAUAAUCAUGGCCCAAAAUUAAUUUGCAAAAAUGAUCCAUUUUGCAAGAAUGACCGAUGUGGCCAGAAGUAGCUAAAGAUGCAAACUCAAAAAAGGAUGGGCCUUAAAGUAAUAUGACACCUAUUUGUGGACUCAAGAUUCUAAGACAUGGGUCAUUGAACCACUUUUGCACAAAUGACCCCAUUUUUGCAAGAAUGGCCGAUGUGGCCAAAAGUGGCUAAACAUGCAAGAUUUGGCUAAGACCUCGCGAAGCCAAGAACCUAAGACUCACUAGGAAGACCGAACCCUAUGUGAACUACCUACGUAUCCCGCCCCGAAAGACGAAAAUCAGUUAUGCGUAGUUCGGGAAGAUUGGAUACGGGCAAGAAUAAAAAAAUUACUGAUUUGGAGAAAAUAUAUUGUCUUUUUUUUAAAAUGAUGAAACAUGUAAACUCUUUUUGGACGUUCUUUUUCCCCUUUUUUGAUUUUUUUUACGGAAAAUGAUGGGAAAAUGCAAAAUCUUUUGUGGGAUUUUUCAUUUUUUUGUCUUUUUCUUAAAAAAAAUAUGAAAGAAAAACAUAACUGGGCCCUACUUACUUUAUUUUCACACUCCACCCUCUUUUCUCCCUCAUUUACCCUCAACCAUCAUUGGUCCGCCAAAUGACCCUUUUUACCCUUGAAGAAUGGAACAUGUAGCACAUAAGAUGCAUCAGGAUGGUCUUUUAUUUUUGAGUACACUUGUCCUAGACAGACCCAACCCCUGUGUUGAGUCCCCAAAGUCAAAUGCACGUGAUGCAAAUAAACGUUCCUACUAAGGAUACGGCAUGAGGCUCUGUUAUUCUAAGUUUAAACCUGAGGUUGUGUUAUAGACCUAGCUUACCCGAGUGGACAGCUUGAGCUGAGGCGGGGGCAACGUACCGGGAGCACGAAAGUCUACCCGGCCUUGUUGCUGACCUAAGCCUUGUUCUAUUUGGUAUGGCUUCUAACAAAAAAGUGGGCCACACGUACGUGUGCACCAUAUUUUUAGAAGACUCAGAAGGGAGGCGUAAGAAGACAGUUUAAUACAGUUCAAAUAAUAUCAAAGCAGUAAAAUAAGCGGCAAUUAGCACAUUAGGUCUACAAAUACAGUAAUAUUAACAAACAAUAAAGCCAAGCAUAGAUCAUAUUAACAAGCUCAAAUUUUGAAUCAUGAACCAGAGAUUCUGGGUUCUUAUCCCCAGCAAAGUCGCCAGAGCUGUCACACCUCCUUUUUUACCCGAAAUAGAUAUAAUGGAGUUUUUCCAAUUAAAGUGACAAUAAUCGAAAUGGAAUUAUUUAAUUAAUUCAGAGUCGCCACUUGAGAUAAUUUAUAGUGUCCCAAGUCACCGAUCUUAAAUCCCAAAUCGAGGAAAAUUGACUCUAUUUUAAAGUCUACGAAACCAAAAGACCGGGUAAGGAAUUCUGUUAACCCGGGAGAAAGCGUUAGGCACUCCCGGAUUUCGUGGUUUUAGCACGAUCGCUUUAAUCAUACGUAGCUUAAUAAAUUUAUUUAAUUACGUGUUUUAGAACCUAUGUGCAUUUCACCUCCGCUUUUAAUUGCUUGAUUAUUCGUAAUUUUGGAAUCAUCUAAAAACGAGUCACGCGUACGUGUACUAAAUUCGUUCGGCGCGCCAAGAAUCAUGUCAUGCAUAUGUGUACACAAUCAAUCAUGAUUUGUUAAUAUUAAGAAAGUUUGGUCGAAGUUGCGUGAAUGCAUACCUCUAUUUAUUUUUUAAAUCGUAAAUAUAUCACGCGAAAGUAUACAUAAUCACGAUAAUUUGAUUAAGAGCGUACCUAGAAGCAUACUAACGAUAUGAAUUACUUGUAAAAAAAAUAGAAUAAAAGCAUAUUUCCUCGUCUCAAUCCUUUAUUCUAUAUUGUAAUUUCAUCCUCUCUUUUCUUUUCAUUUUCUUGGAUUUACUUUGGGGCAUACAUUUUUUAUACUUUUUAGGCGAGUUGCAGUUUAGUUAUCCACCUUGAUUGACAUUGUUUAUUUUCGAAUAGUUCAAGAUUUGAAGAGUUUCUGAAUUAGAAUUCCUCCAAUAUUUUGCUUUACAUCUACUUUUGUACUCAAGGCGACGCUUCCACUUGCAUACAUUUCAAGGACGAAGGCUUCUAUUGGACUUUAAUAUAUAUUCAAAUAAAUAAAUUGAAUUUACAAACCAAAUCUUAUAAUCCAUAUUAAUUAAAUACAUAGAAUGAUAAAGAUUGCCACACAAAGAAAAAAAACAAAUAUAUAGAAUGUGAAAUACAACAAGAUUCCAUAUAUCCAAGUCAAAUACUAUUCAACAAAAAGAGGUAGAGAGAUAAAACUAGAAAUUAAAGAAGGCAAAAAUGAAGAGCUUACCUAUUGAAAGCAAAGAAACAGUUCGAAGUACCAAAUAAAAGCGGGACAUGAAUCGGAAUGGGCUUCACUCAACGGAAAAUUGCGACUGAACAAACACCUCGGACCACGACCUUCAACGACUCGAAGCUUGCCGGAAUACUCAAACUAAACUAGUGAUCAACAAACAGAGCAUAAAGUUUUUGCUGCGUUUUUUGAAGAAUGGGUGGCUGCUCUAGUUUUGGAGAUUAUGUUUCUUUAGUCGUUGCCCUCUCGUUCGUCCUUCCCUUCCCUUUAUUUAUUUAUGUAUACCUUUGCUUAUAUUUGAUUGAAUAUUUAACAAUCAACCACUUUCCUCUUUCUGGACUAAUUUGAUUAUCAAAGAAGAAAGAUGUAAAAACUGGAGCUAAGUUUAUUAUUGGAAAACAAAGUUGGGUUAAAAGUAUGAUGGGUUUUGGGGUUAUUUGGAAGAAGGCAGCGUCUUUUUUUGUGGUGGUGGGAUGCCGUUCUUUUCUCUAAGGGAUGUGGGUGAGGCUCGUUCUCUUCUUCCUUUGGCAGUGUACGGCGGAGAUGGAGUUUUGGAAGGAGUUCUGCCCGUUGGGUCUUGGAGAAGGAGAAGGAGCAUCUGUUGUCUCUCUUUCUCUUGAGUGUGUUGCGGCCGAUCGUUUUGUCUAGUGAAUUAGGUUAGUUCUAUAUAGAGGGAAUUAGGGUAUAUUUUAGAGAUGGGGUAUAUUGGGUAGUGCGCUUGGCCGAAUUUGGGCCUCUUUUGGGCCAAGGCAAGCUCAAAAUAAUAGUCUUCUCACAUAAAAACAAGAGAAAAUUAGUCCAAAAUUUUUAUUCUUAUCUUUUUUGGAAAAA
This 3657-nucleotide long non-coding RNA is filed under the name Nicotiana tabacum (common tobacco). Its description in RNAcentral is "long non-coding RNA (NTAB_LNC011433)". Lineage: Eukaryota; Viridiplantae; Streptophyta; Magnoliopsida; Solanales; Solanaceae. The record is from RNAcentral.